RNAcentral lists this ribosomal RNA (143 nucleotides) under Dicentrarchus labrax (European seabass). RNAcentral's name for it is "partial small subunit ribosomal RNA". Lineage: Eukaryota; Metazoa; Chordata; Actinopteri; Moronidae. The record is from RNAcentral.
AACUGGGAUUAGAUACCCCACUAUGCUUAGCCUUAAACAUAGACAGUUGCUUAUUCCCACUGUCCGCCAGGGUACUACGAGCAUUAGCUUGAAACCCAAAGGACUUGGCGGUGCUUUAGACCCACCUAGAGGAGCCUGUUCUA